This 835-nucleotide ribosomal RNA is filed under the name [Geejayessia] sp. DV-2018a. RNAcentral's name for it is "LSU rRNA". It matches the Rfam family "Eukaryotic large subunit ribosomal RNA", at positions 82 to 952 of the family's 3401-position model. The record is from RNAcentral. Lineage: Eukaryota; Fungi; Ascomycota; Sordariomycetes; Hypocreales; Nectriaceae.
AGUAACGGCGAGUGAAGCGGCAACAGCUCAAAUUUGAAAUCUGGCCCCGGGUCCGAGUUGUAAUUUGUAGAGGAUGCUUUUGGUGAGGUACCUUCCGAGUUCCCUGGAACGGGACGCCAUAGAGGGUGAGAGCCCCGUCUGGUCGGAUACCGAUCCUCUGUAAAGCUCCUUCGACGAGUCGAGUAGUUUGGGAAUGCUGCUCUAAAUGGGAGGUAUAUGUCUUCUAAAGCUAAAUAUAGGCCAGAGACCGAUAGCGCACAAGUAGAGUGAUCGAAAGAUGAAAAGCACUUUGAAAAGAGGGUUAAACAGUACGUGAAAUUGUUGAAAGGGAAGCGCUUGUGACCAGACUUGGGCCCGGUUAAUCAUCCAGCGUUCUCGCUGGUGCACUUGGCCGGCCCAGGCCAGCAUCAGUUCGGCGUGGGGGAUAAAGGCGGCGGGAAUGUGGCUCCUCCGGGAGUGUUAUAGCCCACCGUGUAAUACCCUGUGCUGGACUGAGGUUCGCGCAUUCGCAAGGAUGCUGGCGUAAUGGUCAUUAGCGACCCGUCUUGAAACACGGACCAAGGAGUCGUCCUCGUAUGCGAGUGUUCGGGUGUUAAACCCCUACGCGUAAUGAAAGUGAACGCAGGUGAGAGCUUCGGCGCAUCAUCGACCGAUCCUGAUGUUCUCGGAUGGAUUUGAGUAAGAGCAUACGGGGCCGGACCCGAAAGAAGGUGAACUAUGCCUGUAUAGGGUGAAGCCAGAGGAAACUCUGGUGGAGGCUCGCAGCGGUUCUGACGUGCAAAUCGAUCGUCAAAUAUGGCAUGGGGCGAAAGACUAAUCGAACCUUCUAGUAGCU